Molecule: ribosomal RNA, 492 nt
Filed under: uncultured bacterium
Lineage: Bacteria
Description: partial 16S ribosomal RNA
Rfam family: Bacterial small subunit ribosomal RNA
Source: RNAcentral
AGUGAACGCUGGCGGUAGGCCUAACACAUGCAAGUCGAACGGCAGCACAGUAAGAGCUUGCUCUUACGGGUGGCGAGUGGCGGACGGGUGAGGAAUACAUCGGAAUCUACUUUUUCGUGGGGGAUAACGUAGGGAAACUUACGCUAAUACCGCAUACGACCUACGGGUGAAAGCAGGGGAUCUUCGGACCUUGCGCGAUUGAAUGAGCCGAUGUCGGAUUAGCUAGUUGGCGGGGUAAAGGCCCACCAAGGCGACGAUCCGUAGCUGGUCUGAGAGGAUGAUCAGCCCCAAUGGAACUGAGACACGGUCCAGACUCCUACGGGAGGCAGCAGUGGGGAAUAUUGGACAAUGGGCGCAAGCCUGAUCCAGCCAUACCGCGUGGGUGAAGAAGGCCUUCGGGUUUUAAAGCCCUUUUGUUGGGAAAGAAAAGCAGCAGGUUAAUACCCCGCUGUUCUGACGGUACCCAAAGAAUAAGCACCGGCUAACUUCGUG